Non-coding RNA from Pelobates cultripes (western spadefoot toad), 213 nucleotides. The record is from the annotation of a GenBank genome assembly. NCBI's taxonomy places the organism in Eukaryota, Metazoa, Chordata, Amphibia, Anura, Pelobatidae.
CUUCUGUAAUAUUUAACUGGGCAGAUUCUAAGUAAAGAUUUCUCUCUGGUAAGAACUAUGGUGUUGGCUGUUUAUUUGUAAUAUCGGGUAGAAUACCUUCGUAGUGCUAGUCAUAUAUUUAUCUGGACAAGGGGAUAAAGAUAUAUGUUAGUUCUUGGAAGAGGUGACACAGGGAUAUUACAUUCACUAUUAAUACACAACGCAGAGUGGAUU